UUCCGGUCUCCUGAGAGUGAAAAGGGAAUCCAGUGCAAAUCUGGAGCUGACGCGCAGCGGUAACGACUGGCGGGAUAAGAGCAGCAGACACUGCGAAAGCGGGAAGUCUUUAUCCACAACACGCCACCCAGCCCGAAGACCUGCCGGAAUC
RNAcentral lists this non-coding RNA (151 nucleotides) under uncultured Enterobacter sp. The record is from RNAcentral. Lineage: Bacteria; Pseudomonadati; Pseudomonadota; Gammaproteobacteria; Enterobacterales; Enterobacteriaceae.